Molecule: transfer RNA, 88 nt
Filed under: Thermus brockianus
Lineage: Bacteria; Thermotogati; Deinococcota; Deinococci; Thermales; Thermaceae
Description: tRNA-Gly
Source: RNAcentral
GGAAAGCCUGGCGGGAUCGGGGACGAAGACCCGUUCCCGUUGGGUGGCCUCGAGGGUGCUCUUCACGUUCAGCACGUAAGGUUUUUCG